AACCCCCAGCUAGGCUGGGGGUUCCGGAAAGCUUUCAGCUUUGAGCCAGUUAUUAAAACCCCUUUUGAUUUGUUAAAAG
Molecule: small RNA, 79 nt
Filed under: Salmonella enterica subsp. enterica serovar Kentucky
Lineage: Bacteria; Pseudomonadati; Pseudomonadota; Gammaproteobacteria; Enterobacterales; Enterobacteriaceae
Description: Hfq binding sRNA
Rfam family: STnc490 Hfq binding RNA
Source: RNAcentral